This 280-nucleotide ribosomal RNA is filed under the name Salmonella enterica. RNAcentral's name for it is "partial 16S ribosomal RNA". It matches the Rfam family "Bacterial small subunit ribosomal RNA", at positions 1 to 277 of the family's 1533-position model. Lineage: Bacteria; Pseudomonadati; Pseudomonadota; Gammaproteobacteria; Enterobacterales; Enterobacteriaceae. RNAcentral also lists the same sequence under 2 other names. The record is from RNAcentral.
AAAUUGAAGAGUUUGAUCAUGGCUCAGAUUGAACGCUGGCGGCAGGCCUAACACAUGCAAGUCGAACGGUAACAGGAAGCAGCUUGCUGCUUUGCUGACGAGUGGCGGACGGGUGAGUAAUGUCUGGGAAACUGCCUGAUGGAGGGGGAUAACUACUGGAAACGGUGGCUAAUACCGCAUAACGUCGCAAGACCAAAGAGGGGGACCUUCGGGCCUCUUGCCAUCAGAUGUGCCCAGAUGGGAUUAGCUUGUUGGUGAGGUAACGGCUCACCAAGGCGAC